This 571-nucleotide ribosomal RNA is filed under the name Ochthephilum sanguinolentum. RNAcentral's name for it is "partial large subunit ribosomal RNA". The record is from RNAcentral. Lineage: Eukaryota; Metazoa; Arthropoda; Insecta; Coleoptera; Staphylinidae.
GUACGUGAAACCGUUCAGGGGUAAACCUGAGAAAUCCGAAAGAUCGAAUGGGGACAUUCAGCGCGUCUCGCUUGGCGGCGAGCUUAGGUCGUGAGACGGUUGGGCGUUCGCGCUCGGUCGCUCCUGCCGAAGCCGCGACCGCUGGUGAACGCGUGCACUUCUCCCCUAGUAGGACGUCGCGACCCGUUGGGUGCCGGUCUAAGGUCCGCGGUGGAGCCCGCCGGGGUACGGUUCAUCCCGUAUCCUUGCGGACCCGCGGUCGCCCGACCGGCUCGCUCGACGGUAGAACGGUGGCGAAGGGUCGCGCAUGUUCGCGCCCGGCCCGUCGCAAGCGCGACCGUCAGCCCGACUGUCGGACUUCAGUGCCGACACCGGGCACGGUUGGCUGCUGGCGUCGGUGUCCUCGGGCGGGCCCCGAUACACGCCCGUCGGCGACGCUUUAGCUUUGGAUACUUUCAGGACCCGUCUUGAAACACGGACCAAGGAGUCUAGCAUGUGCGCGAGUCAUUGGGACUCUAACUAAACCUAAAGGCGCAAUGAAAGUGAAGGCCGCCUUGCGCGUGCCGAGGGA